RNAcentral lists this ribosomal RNA (275 nucleotides) under uncultured Pseudomonas sp. RNAcentral's name for it is "partial 16S ribosomal RNA". It matches the Rfam family "Bacterial small subunit ribosomal RNA", at positions 1107 to 1382 of the family's 1533-position model. Lineage: Bacteria; Pseudomonadati; Pseudomonadota; Gammaproteobacteria; Pseudomonadales; Pseudomonadaceae. The record is from RNAcentral.
GUCCUUAGUUACCAGCACGUUAUGGUGGGCACUCUAAGGAGACUGCCGGUGACAAACCGGAGGAAGUGGGGAUGACGUCAAGUCAUCAUGGCCCUUACGGCCUGGGCUACACACGUGCUACAAUGGUCGGUACAAAGGGUUGCCAAGCCGCGAGGUGGAGCUAAUCCCAUAAAACCGAUCGUAGUCCGGAUCGCAGUCUGCAACUCGACUGCGUGAAGUCGGAAUCGCUAGUAAUCGUGAAUCAGAAUGUCACGGUGAAUACGUUCCCGGGCCUU